GCCUGCUUAGCUCAGUGGUUAGAGCGCUUGGGAACUAUUGAUCUCAAGUGACGCGAGUUCGAUUCUCACAGUGGACA
Lentinula raphanica is the source of this 77-nucleotide non-coding RNA. NCBI's taxonomy places the organism in Eukaryota, Fungi, Basidiomycota, Agaricomycetes, Agaricales, Omphalotaceae. The record is from the annotation of a GenBank genome assembly.